AUUUACCGCUGGCGGCAGGCCUAACACAUGCAAGUCGAGCGAGCGGCGGACGGGUGAGGAAUGUAUGGGGACUGCCCGAUAGAGGGGGAUAACUACUGGAAACGGUAGCUAAUACCGCAUACUAUCGGAUAACCCAUAUGGGAUUAGCUAGUAGGUGAGGUAAUGGCUCACCUAGGCGACGAUCCAUCGCUGGUCGGAGAGUAUGAUCAGCCACACUGGGACUGAGACACGGCCCAGACUCCUACGGAGUCAGCAGUGGGGAAUAUUGCACAAUGGGCGCAAGCCUGAUGCAGCCAUGCCGCGUGUAUGAAGAAGGCCCUAGGGUUGUAAAGUACUUUCAGUCGGGAGGCGUUACCGACAGAAGAAGCACCGGCUAACUCCGUGCCAGCAGCCGCGGUAAUUC
Molecule: ribosomal RNA, 403 nt
Filed under: uncultured bacterium
Lineage: Bacteria
Description: partial 16S ribosomal RNA
Rfam family: Bacterial small subunit ribosomal RNA
Source: RNAcentral